Molecule: ribosomal RNA, 481 nt
Filed under: uncultured bacterium
Lineage: Bacteria
Description: partial 16S ribosomal RNA
Rfam family: Bacterial small subunit ribosomal RNA
Source: RNAcentral
GAUGAACGCUGGCGGCGUGCUUAACACAUGCAAGUCGAACGAAACACCUUAUUUGAUUUUCUUCGGAACUGAAGAUUUGGUGAUUGAGUGGCGGACGGGUGAGUAACGCGUGGGUAACCUGCCCUGUACAGGGGGAUAACAGUCAGAAAUGACUGCUAAUACCGCAUAAGACCACAGCACCGCAUGGUGCAGGGGUAAAAACUCCGGUGGUACAGGAUGGACCCGCGUCUGAUUAGCUGGUUGGUGAGGUAACGGCUCACCAAGGCGACGAUCAGUAGCCGGCUUGGGAGAGUGAACGGCCACAUUGGGACUGAGACACGGCCCAAACUCCUACGGGAGGCAGCAGUGGGGAAUAUUGCACAAUGGGGGAAACCCUGAUGCAGCGACGCCGCGUGAGUGAAGAAGUAUUUCGGUAUGUAAAGCUCUAUCAGCAGGGAAGAAAAUGACGGUACCUGACUAAGAAGCCCCGGCUAACUACGUG